CCUACGGGAGGCUGCAGUGAGGAAUAUUGGUCAAUGGCCGCGAGGCUGAACCAGCCAAGUAGCGUGAAGGAUGACUGCCCUAUGGGUUGUAAACUUCUUUUAUAAAGGAAUAAAAUGAGGCACGUGUGCCUUUUUGUAUGUACUUUAUGAAUAAGGAUCGGCUAACUCCGUGCCAGCAGCCGCGGUAAUACGGAGGAUCCGAGCGUUAUCCGGAUUUAUUGGGUUUAAAGGGAGCGUAGAUGGGUUGUUAAGUCAGUUGUGAAAGUUUGCGGCUCAACCGUAAAAUUGCAAUUGAUACUGGCAGUCUUGAGUACAGUUGAGGUAGGCGGAAUGCGUGGUGUAGCGGUGAAAUGCUUAGAUAUCACGAAGAACCCCGAUUGCGAAGGCAGCUUACUAAACUGUCACUGACAUUGAUGCUCGAAAGUGUGGGUAUCAAACAGGAUUAGAUACCCGAGUAGUC
Molecule: ribosomal RNA, 460 nt
Filed under: uncultured bacterium
Lineage: Bacteria
Description: partial 16S ribosomal RNA
Rfam family: Bacterial small subunit ribosomal RNA
Source: RNAcentral